This 271-nucleotide long non-coding RNA is filed under the name Pan troglodytes (chimpanzee). RNAcentral describes it as "long non-coding RNA NONPTRT016395". The record is from RNAcentral. Lineage: Eukaryota; Metazoa; Chordata; Mammalia; Primates; Hominidae.
AUGUCCUUCAAUACGUGAACGUAUUUUAGAAACAGUGGUUUAUCAAUACAAUGGAAUAUUAUUCAAUGAUAAGAAGAAAUGAGUUAUCAAGUCGUGAAAAGCCAUGAAUGAAUCUUAAGCAUAUUGCUGAGUGUAAGAAGCCAGUCUGAAAAAGCUACUUCUUGUAUGAUUCCAAUGAUACAAAUUCUGGAAAAGGUAAAACUAUAGUACAGUUAAGUAAAUUAAUGGGAGAUGGUGGGAGCCAGGUUUCUCACUGAGGGAGAGGUAGGUC